AUCACCUGCCCCAAUGCUUUGUGGGAAGGUGGCAAUGCUGGUUCUCACAUCCUGCCCUCUCACACUUCCUGUCCCUUGGUCCUGUUGGCCCCCAUCUCCUGCCUUGUAUCAAGGGCUGAAGAAGGACAUUGGCGAAUAAGUACUCCUCUGGCUCCUGCAACUCUGCUGUUGGUCUGACCAAACAUACCUCUCUGGGGGAGAGCAGCUGCAUGGUUAAAGGUCAGCACAAGAGGAAGAGGAGAUCUGCCUACCUUUCCUGGGAAGCUCCAGCCAGAUGACGGAAAAAGUGACUGUUACUUGCUUUUGACUUAUCAAGUGACUCCUCAUCUGUCCAUGAAUGGAUAGUGAGAACCUACAGUGCAUAUUUAGAAGUCAGGCAUGCGCUGGUGUAAAUAACGUUUUAGGAGGUAAGAGUAUAUGUGUUUGGCAAGGUAAGUCAGAUGUAGCUGGAUGGAGUUUCUAGCUGUGAGAAGAAUGCAACAGGUUUUGUCUAAGAUGUGUAUCUGGCUUUUGAUGACUCUGGCAUAAAACAGAAGCAGGGGAGCAGAUGUUGUGGUCCACAGGACUGCACUAAUUAUACGUGAAGUAUCUCACCCUGCAUGCUCCCAGCACCAGGUGCUGGGCAGGUGACUCCUGAUGCCUGCUGGUUGUGAUGCACCCUGGGGGCAGGAUGAGCCAAGGAUGGCUGUUCCAUCUGUGCAGGACAAGCAUG
Vidua chalybeata is the source of this 712-nucleotide long non-coding RNA. RefSeq lists it as uncharacterized. NCBI's taxonomy places the organism in Eukaryota, Metazoa, Chordata, Aves, Passeriformes, Viduidae. The transcript is spliced from 3 exons. The record is from RefSeq and is a predicted model, not a curated record.